GGGCCAGUGGCUCAGUUGGGAGAGCGCCUCAAUGGCAUUGAGGAGGCCGGGGGUUCGAAUCCCCCCUGGUCCA
RNAcentral lists this transfer RNA (73 nucleotides) under Chloroflexota bacterium. Its description in RNAcentral is "Chloroflexi bacterium (groundwater metagenome) tRNA-Ala". It matches the Rfam family "tRNA". From Rfam's summary of the family: Transfer RNA (tRNA) molecules are approximately 80 nucleotides in length. Lineage: Bacteria; Bacillati; Chloroflexota. The record is from RNAcentral.